This 466-nucleotide ribosomal RNA is filed under the name uncultured bacterium. RNAcentral describes it as "bacterial SSU rRNA". It matches the Rfam family "Bacterial small subunit ribosomal RNA", at positions 28 to 507 of the family's 1533-position model. The record is from RNAcentral.
GAUGAACGCUGGCGGCGUGCAUAACACAUUCAAGUCGAACGGAAUUAGAGGUGCUUGCACCGAUAAUUUAGUGGCGGACGGGUGAGUAACGCGUGAGCAACCUACCUACAUGAGUGGAAUAACACAGGGAAACUUGUGCUAAUACCGCAUAAAAUGUUUUAAUUGCAUGGUUUAAACAUCAAAGAGCAAUCGCAUGUAGAUGGGCUCGCGUCUGAUUAGAUAGUUGGUGAGGUAACGGCUCACCAAGUCGACGAUCAGUAGCCGAACUGAGAGGUUGAACGGCCACAUUGGAACUGAGAAACGGUCCAGACUCCUACGGGAGGCAGCAGUGGGGAAUAUUGGGCAAUGGACGAAAGUCUGACCCAGCGACGCCGCGUGAGGAAGAAGGUCUUCGGAUUGUAAACCUCUGUUGAUAGGGAAGAAGAAAGUGACGGUACCUAUCGAGGAAGCCACGGCUAACUACGUG